Molecule: non-coding RNA, 115 nt
Organism: Triticum aestivum (bread wheat)
Lineage: Eukaryota; Viridiplantae; Streptophyta; Magnoliopsida; Poales; Poaceae
Source: Rfam
CAAGUACUCCCUCCGUCCGGAAUUACUUGUCAUCAAAAUGGAUGUGUCUAGAACUAAAAUACAUCUAGAUCCAUCCAUUUCAAUGACAAGUAUUUUCGGACGGAGGGAGUACAAG